Molecule: non-coding RNA, 136 nt
Organism: Mustela putorius furo (domestic ferret)
Lineage: Eukaryota; Metazoa; Chordata; Mammalia; Carnivora; Mustelidae
Source: Rfam
AGCUUUGCGCAGUGGCAGUAUCGUAGCCAAUGAGGUUUAUCCGAGGCACGAUUAUUGCUAAUUGAAAACUUAUUAUUGAAUUAGAAAUUCUAAUAAAAUGUAUUCUGUAGGAAACUUUUAAAACUUCUAUUAAAAG